RNAcentral lists this unclassified non-coding RNA (305 nucleotides) under plant metagenome. RNAcentral's name for it is "partial contains 5.8S ribosomal RNA, internal transcribed spacer 2, and large subunit ribosomal RNA". The stretch from base 1 to 105 matches the Rfam family "5.8S ribosomal RNA", at positions 50 to 154 of the family's 154-position model. The record is from RNAcentral.
GAAAUGCGAUAAGUAAUGUGAAUUGCAGAAUUCGGUGAAUCAUCGAAUCUUUGAACGCACAUUGCGCCCGCCAGUAUUCUGGCGGGCAUGCCUGUUCGAGCGUCAUUUCAACCAUCAAGCCCCCGGCUUGUGUUGGGGACCUGCGGCUGCCCGCAGGCCCUGAAAAACAGUGGCGGGCUCGCUGUCACACCGAGCGUAGUAGCAUACAUUCUCGCUCAGGGCGUGCUGCGGGUCCCGGCCGUUAAACGACCUUCAUAACCCAAGGUUGACCUCGGAUCAGGUAGGAAGACCCGCUGAACUUAAGC